AGAUGAAACAUCCAAUUGCAGAUAUGAAUGACCUAAUUCAAUGGAUGAGUCUGGAAGAGGACCAAGUUCAUGGGAAAGAUCAAAAAUUCAGUUUUGAAGAUGUUGAUGAGAAGAUGAGACAAAACCAUGUAUAGAUGCGGAUGAGCUAAUUAAAUAUAUGAGUCUGGAGCUGAAAGGAAAUGCCUUGACAAGAGAAGUAAAUUUGAGGACCAUCAGUAUACAGAUGUACUUGAAUCCAUCUAUGUAAAUGCAAUCACCCUGGGAGGAAAUUUAGAGUGAGAACAGGACUGCGUGGAAAGACAUUAAAGAAGUUAAAGAAAGAAGAACUAACAAAGGCAGGAGAGAAGAAGAGGACGGAGAGGUAGGAGAGAAACCAGUAAUGUGCGAUGGCAUAGAAAUUAAGAACUCUGGCAAAACAGCAUGGAAUGGGAAGUGGACGUGGCUUUCUGCAUAAAACACAUACCCUGCAACAUAGCAAAUUACUCUGCCUGAUCCUUCACCCAUUAUCCUUGGACCAAGCUUAUGCUUUCUGUAAAAUUUCAGGCAAAGAUCCACUGGGGAAGAUGAGAGGAAAAUAGCACGGAUGAGCAACAUACUUCCUGCCCUCUGACUCUGACCUCUUGUUCAUACUUUGUUCCUAACAAUUCCUUCCCUUAGAGUGGUUUUUCCCAGGGUUCUUAUUAUAGAGAUUGCUUGUGCCCUCAAAACUUCAUAUGUUGAAAUCCUAACUCCCAAUGUGUUGAUAUUAUGAAGUAGGGCAUUUGAGAGGUAAUCAGGUCACGAGGGUGGCACCCUAAAGGGAAAUUAGUACCCUUAUAAGAACAGAUAUGAGAGAGAUUAUUUUUCUCCCAGCCAUGUGAGAAUACAACAAGAAGAUUACCAUCUGCAAUCCAAAAAGAGUGUCCUUAUCAGACACCAGAUCUGCCAGGGGCUUUGAUCUUGGACUUCGCAGCCUCUAGAACCGUGAGAAAUAAAUGUUUGUUGUUUUAAGCACUCAGUCUCUGGUAUUCUGUUAUAACAGUCCAAAGUAGCUAGGACAGUACUUUUCUGUUCCUCAAGUAAACAGUCCCACAUUGACCCACCCAACAGUCUUUCCAAUUUGCAGAGAAAGUAUUAAAAUCAAAGCAGUAAGUAAUUUGAAGCCACUUAUGACAUAUGCUAAAAUACUUGAAAUAACUAUUUUUAAAAUUUUAAUGCUCUUGAUUAUAGUAAUGACAUAUGCCACUUAUGAAAAAUAUGAGCUUCAAAAGAAAAGUAAAUUUCAAGUCAAAUCCUAAAAUUAAUAAAGUCAACAUUAGAGGGAGGGGCUUUAUUAUAUGUAAAAUGUGAGCAUGGAAAC
This is a long non-coding RNA of Homo sapiens (human), 1339 nucleotides long. Lineage: Eukaryota; Metazoa; Chordata; Mammalia; Primates; Hominidae. The record is from Ensembl.